CGGGGUGUAGUAUACCGGUAGUACGCUUGGUUUGGGACCAAGUUGACUGGGUUCGAUUCCCAGCACCCCGA
RNAcentral lists this transfer RNA (71 nucleotides) under bacterium. RNAcentral's name for it is "tRNA-Pro". It matches the Rfam family "tRNA". From Rfam's summary of the family: Transfer RNA (tRNA) molecules are approximately 80 nucleotides in length. Their secondary structure includes four short double-helical elements and three loops (D, anti-codon, and T loops). The record is from RNAcentral.